RNAcentral lists this ribosomal RNA (460 nucleotides) under uncultured bacterium. Its description in RNAcentral is "partial 16S ribosomal RNA". It matches the Rfam family "Bacterial small subunit ribosomal RNA", at positions 338 to 795 of the family's 1533-position model. The record is from RNAcentral.
CCUACGGGAGGCAGCAGUGAGGAAUAUUGGUCAAUGGACGCAAGUCUGAACCAGCCAUGCCGCGUGCAGGAAGACGGCUCUAUGAGUUGUAAACUGCUUUUGUACGAGGGUAAACGCAGAUACGCGUAUCUGUCUGAAAGUAUCGUACGAAUAAGGAUCGGCUAACUCCGUGCCAGCAGCCGCGGUAAUACGGAGGAUUCAAGCGUUAUCCGGAUUUAUUGGGUUUAAAGGGUGCGUAGGCGGUCGGAUAAGUUAGAGGUGAAAUCCCGAGGCUCAACUUCGGAAUUGCCUCUGAUACUGGUAGGCUAGAGAGUAGUUGCGGUAGGUGGAAUGUAUGGUGUAGCGGUGAAAUGCUUAGAGAUCAGACAGAACACCGAUGGCGAAGGCAGCUUACCAAGCUACUUCUGACGUUGAGGUACGAAAGCGUGGGGAGCAAACAGGAUUAGAUACCCUAGUAGUC